Molecule: ribosomal RNA, 864 nt
Filed under: uncultured bacterium
Lineage: Bacteria
Description: bacterial SSU rRNA
Rfam family: Bacterial small subunit ribosomal RNA
Source: RNAcentral
CAAGUCGAACGGCAGCACGGGUGCUUGCACCUGGUGGCGAGUGGCGAACGGGUGAGUAAUACAUCGGAACGUACCUUAUCGUGGGGGAUAACGCAGCGAAAGCUGUGCUAAUACCGCAUACGCCCUGAGGGGGAAAGCGGGGGAUCGCAAGACCUCGCGCGAUUAGAGCGGCCGAUGCCUGAUUAGCUUGUUGGUGGGGUAAAAGCCCACCAAGGCGACGAUCAGUAGCUGGUCUGAGAGGACGAUCAGCCACACUGGGACUGAGACACGGCCCAGACUCCUACGGGAGGCAGCAGUGGGGAAUUUUGGACAAUGGGGGCAACCCUGAUCCAGCAAUGCCGCGUGAGUGAAGAAGGCCUUCGGGUUGUAAAGCUCUUUUGUCAGGGAAGAAACACCGGCUCUAACACAGUCCGGGAAUGACGGUACCUGAAGAAUAAGCACCGGCUAACUACGUGCCAGCAGCCGCGGUAAUACGUAGGGUGCGAGCGUUAAUCGGAAUUACUGGGCGUAAAGCGUGCGCAGGCGGUUAUACAAGACAGGCGUGAAAUCCCCGGGCUUAACCUGGGAAUGGCGCCUGUGACUGUAUAGCUAGAGUGUGUCAGAGGGGGGUAGAAUUCCACGUGUAGCAGUGAAAUGCGUAGAUAUGUGGAGGAAUACCAAUGGCGAAGGCAGCCCCCUGCGAUAACACUGACGCUCAUGCACGAAAGCGUGGGGAGCAAACAGGAUUAGAUACCCUGGUAGUCCACGCCCUAAACGAUGCUGACUAGUUGUUCGGGAUUUACAUCCUGAGUAACGUAGCUAACGCGUGAAGUCAGCCGCCUGGGGAGUACGGUCGCAAGAUUAAAACUCAAAGGAAUUGACGGG